This 642-nucleotide ribosomal RNA is filed under the name uncultured bacterium. RNAcentral's name for it is "bacterial SSU rRNA". It matches the Rfam family "Bacterial small subunit ribosomal RNA", at positions 8 to 627 of the family's 1533-position model. The record is from RNAcentral.
AGAGUUUGAUCCUGGCUCAGAACGAACGUUGGCGGCGUGCUUAACACAUGCAAGUCGAACGAGAAAGUUCCUUCGGGAAUGAGUAAAGUGGCGCACGGGUGAGUAACGCGUAAGUAAUCUACCUUGGCAUUUGGAAUAACUACGGGAAGCUGUAGCUAAUACCGGAUACGUUCUCCUUUUUACGGAUUGGAGAAGAAAGAUGACCUCUUCUUGAAAGUUAUCGUGCUAAGAGGAGCUUGCGUACCAUUAGCUAGUUGGUAGGGUAAUGGCCUACCAAGGCAACGAUGGUUAGCGGGUCUGAGAGGAUGAUCCGCCACACUGGAACUGGAACACGGACCAGACUCCUACGGGAGGCAGCAGUGAGGAAUAUUGCGCAAUGGGGGAAACCCUGACGCAGCGACGCCGCGUGGAUGAUGAAGGCCUUAGGGUCGUAAAAUCCUGUCAGGUGGGAAGAAAUGUACGAGGGAACAAUACCCCUUGUGCUUGACGGUACCACCAAAGGAAGCACCGGCUAACUCAGUGCCAGCAGCCGCGGUAAUACUGAGGGUGCAAACGUUGUUCGGAAUUACUGGGCGUAAAGCGCGCGUAGGCGGUUUGUUAAGUCAGAUGUGAAAGCCCAAGGCUCAACCUUGGACGUGCAUU